UGGGAGAUAGCUGGUUCUCCUCGAAAUAUAUUGAGGUAUAGCCUCGGAUGAACUGCGUUGGAGGUAAAGCACUGAAUGGGCUAGGGGUCCUACCAGACUACCAAACCCAAUCAAACUCUGAAUGCCAAUGACAGAUGUCCGGGAGUCAGGCAGCGGGAGAUAAGUUCCGUUGCCGAAAGGGAAAGAGCCCAGAUCGUCAGCUAAGGUCCCAAAGUCCGAACUCAGUGUCAAAGGAUGUGGAAACGCUUUGACAACCAGGAGGUUGGCUUAGAAGCAGCCAUCCUUUAAAGAAAGCGUAAUAGCUCACUGGUCAAGCGAGUCUGCGCCGAAAAUAUAACGGGGCUUAAGUUCGGCACCGAAGCUACGGGUUCUCGUAAGAGAGCGGUAGAGGAGCAUUGUGAGGCAG
Molecule: ribosomal RNA, 406 nt
Filed under: uncultured bacterium
Lineage: Bacteria
Description: bacterial LSU rRNA
Rfam family: Bacterial large subunit ribosomal RNA
Source: RNAcentral